UAGGAGUGAAAAGUCAUAGAUAACCAUGUCUCUGAACUGUUUCUGGAAAACUAGAAAAAGAUAGUUUUUAAUAUUUUACUCAUGGCUCGACACAAAUUGUCACAGAAAAGCAGCAAUGGUCUCUGGAACUAAAAAGAUUACAGUAGAAGCAAUCAGAGGCAUUACGUGGUUACAAGAAACUCAUUAAUAGAUUAAUUAACA
This is a non-coding RNA of Pelobates cultripes (western spadefoot toad), 201 nucleotides long. NCBI's taxonomy places the organism in Eukaryota, Metazoa, Chordata, Amphibia, Anura, Pelobatidae. The record is from the annotation of a GenBank genome assembly.